GUUUCACAAUUGGAUUAUUCAUCUUUUCUUUUUUUUUUUUUUUAUUUUUAUGACGGAGUCUCGCUCUGUCACAUAGGCUGGAGUACAGUGACGCUGUCUCGGCUCACUACAACCUCCGGCUCCUGGGUUCAAGUGAUUCUCCUGCCUCAGCCUCCCGAGUAGCUAGGACUACAAGUGGGCACUACCAGGCUCAGCUAAUUUUUGUAUUUUUAGUGGUGUUGGCCAGGGUGGUCUUGAACUCCUGACCUCAAGUGGUCUGCCCGCCUCGGCCUCCCCAAGUGCUGGGAUUACAGGCGUGAGCCACCGAGCCUGGCCAGGAUUAUUCAUCUUGUUACUGUUCAUUUGUAGUUAUUUAUAUGUUCUCAAAUAAACCCUUUGUGACACACACACACACACACACACACACACACACACACGCAGAGUCAAUAUUGUUUCCCAGUCUUUGGUUUGCCUAUUAGUUUUGUUAAUGCUGUCUUUUAAUGAGCAGAAAAUUUGAACUUGGAUGAAAUCCAACUUAUCCAUUUUUUUUCUUUUAAAGUUAGUGCUUUUUGUGUCCUGACCAAGAAACCCUUGCCUCUCUAAUGUUGCAAAAAUAUUAAUGUGUUUCCUUUAUAAGCUUGGCUUUGCUUUUUACAUUUAGAUCCAUUUCAAAUUGAUUUUUGAAUCAAUUGCAGCAGUUGACAUAUAUAUUUUUUUCUAUAUCUAUGUCUCAUUGUUUCAGCACCAUUAGUUGAAAGUGCUUUCCUUGGCCAGGCAUGUUGGUUCAUGCCUGUAUGAGCCAACAGCUCCCACUUCCUUUUGGGAGGCUGAGGUGGGAGGAUCACUUGAGGCCAGGAGUUUGAGACCAGACUGGCAACAUAACAGGACUCUGUCUCUACAAAAACAAAAAAAUUAGCCAAGUGUGGUCGUAUGCACCUGUGAUCCCAGCAACUUGGGAGGCUGAGGCAGGAGGAUUGCUUGAGCCCCAGCAGUUGAGGCUGCAGUGAUCAUGAUUGUCUCAAAAAGGAAAAAAAGUGCUUUUACAUGUAUUCCACAAAUAUUUAUUGAGGGCCUACUAUGUGUCAGCCACCCUGCCAACCCCUGAAGAUUCUGUGGGGAAUUUGGCAGACGUCGUCUUGCCCUAUGGAGUUUAGAAACCAGUCCCACAAGAUUAUGCAGGCAAGGGCAGGGGUCUGGGAGCCCCAUUCCUGUCCUGUCUGCCUGUUUCAGGAGCUUCUCCAGGCCUGGGGGGUGGGGGAUAAACCCCACCCAAUGCUUGACCUCUUCCUGGACUGCCAGCCUCAGGAAAUCCUGCCUAUAAUUUGUCACACAUUCCCUUGGGGCUGCUAAGCUUUUAUUUUUAGGAUUUAUUGAGCACCUCCUGUGUGACCCAGGGUCAUCUCAUGAAUUACUCUACCCCAUAACCUGGGGGCAGGGUCAUCCCCAUGGUUUAAAGACAGGGGAUCAUGGUGCAGAGAAGUGAGGUGGCCGCCUGAGGUCACACAGCCAGGAGAGGGUAAGCUGGGAAUGGAAUCCAGCCUGCUGACUCCGAAGCUCACUGACGCCAGGAAAGGACUCUGAACUCAGCAAGGGAACCCCUACCUGUUACAGACGAGAAAGCUGAGCAGCAGGGGGAAACUGUCAGCAGCCAUGGGUGGCAGAGCCCGAGUUUGAACCCGAGCCUGUAAACUGAGACCAAGGACUCUAAGGGGACAGAGCCAGGUUGCCUGCAGGGUCUAGCAGUGGAUACGGG
This 1732-nucleotide long non-coding RNA is filed under the name Homo sapiens (human). RNAcentral's name for it is "non-protein coding lnc-XPC-6:1". The record is from RNAcentral. Lineage: Eukaryota; Metazoa; Chordata; Mammalia; Primates; Hominidae.